This 72-nucleotide transfer RNA is filed under the name Camelus bactrianus (Bactrian camel). It matches the Rfam family "tRNA". From Rfam's summary of the family: Transfer RNA (tRNA) molecules are approximately 80 nucleotides in length. RNAcentral also lists the same sequence under 2 other names. The record is from Rfam by way of RNAcentral. Lineage: Eukaryota; Metazoa; Chordata; Mammalia; Artiodactyla; Camelidae.
GGGCGUAUAGCUCAGUGGCAGAGUUUGUGCUUAGUGAGCACAAGGUCCUCGGUUCAAUCCCCAGUGUUCUCC